RNAcentral lists this unclassified non-coding RNA (344 nucleotides) under soil metagenome. RNAcentral describes it as "partial contains 5.8S ribosomal RNA, internal transcribed spacer 2, and large subunit ribosomal RNA". The stretch from base 1 to 120 matches the Rfam family "5.8S ribosomal RNA", at positions 35 to 154 of the family's 154-position model. The record is from RNAcentral.
GAUGAAGAACGCAGCGAAAUGCGAUACGUAGUGUGAAUUGCAGAAUUCAGUGAAUCAUCGAAUCUUUGAACGCACAUUGCGCCCUUUGGUAUUCCAAAGGGCAUGCCUGUUCGAGCGUCAUUUGUACCCUCAAGCUUUGCUUGGUGUUGGGCGUUUUUGUCUUUGGCCCGCCAAAGACUCGCCUUAAAAUGAUUGGCAGCCGGCCUACUGGUUUCGCAGCGCAGCACAUUUUUGCGCUUGCAAUCAGCAAAAGAGGACGGCAAUCCAUCAAGACCCCUUCUCACGUUUGACCUCGGAUCAGGUAGGGAUACCCGCUGAACUUAAGCAUAUCAAUAAGCGGAGGA